AGAGUAAAUUGAAUAGUCGCUGGUAGCUUCCGAAAGGAACUACGAGAGGAAAGUCCGGGCUCCAUAGAGCAAAGAUGCUAGAUAACGUCUAGUAGGGGCAACCCUAAGGAAAGUGCAACAGAAAAUAACCGCCUAUUUUAGGUAAGGAUGAAAAGGUGAGGUAAGAGCUCACCGCCUUUAUGGUGACAUAGAGGGCUGUGUAAACCCCAUCUGGAGCAACACCUUGUAAAGAAGAUUAAACCUGCUCGGUGCCUUCUUGAUUUGCGUGGCUUGAAAUAUAUAGUGAUAUAUAUUCUAGAUAAAUGACUAUUUUAAAAGACAGAACCCGGCUUACAGAUUUACUCUAUUA
Molecule: non-coding RNA, 349 nt
Organism: Clostridium sp. CAG:575
Lineage: Bacteria; Bacillati; Bacillota; Clostridia; Eubacteriales; Clostridiaceae
Source: Rfam